RNAcentral lists this ribosomal RNA (497 nucleotides) under uncultured bacterium. RNAcentral's name for it is "partial 16S ribosomal RNA". It matches the Rfam family "Bacterial small subunit ribosomal RNA", at positions 28 to 507 of the family's 1533-position model. The record is from RNAcentral.
GAUGAACGCUGGCGGCGUGCCUAAUACAUGCAAGUCGAGCGAACGGACGAGAAGCUUGCUUCUCUGAUGUUAGCGGCGGACGGGUGAGUAACACGUGGAUAACCUACCUAUAAGACUGGGAUAACUUCGGGAAACCGGAGCUAAUACCGGAUAAUAUUUUGAACCGCAUGGUUCAAAAGUGAAAGACGGUCUUGCUGUCACUUAUAGAUGGAUCCGCGCUGCAUUAGCUAGUUGGUAAGGUAACGGCUUACCAAGGCAACGAUGCAUAGCCGACCUGAGAGGGUGAUCGGCCACACUGGAACUGAGACACGGUCCAGACUCCUACGGGAGGCAGCAGUAGGGAAUCUUCCGCAAUGGGCGAAAGCCUGACGGAGCAACGCCGCGUGAGUGCUGAAGGUCUUCGGAUCGUAAAACUCUGUUAUUCGGGAAGAACAUAUGUGUAAGUAACUGUGCACAUAUUGACGGUACCUAAUCAGAAAGCCACGGCUAACUACGUG